Ameiurus melas (black bullhead) is the source of this 73-nucleotide non-coding RNA. The record is from the annotation of a GenBank genome assembly. NCBI's taxonomy places the organism in Eukaryota, Metazoa, Chordata, Actinopteri, Siluriformes, Ictaluridae.
GGCACUGAUGGCUCAGUGGUUAAGGCUCUGGUUACUGAUCAGAAGUUCGGGGGUUCAUGCCCCAGCACUGCCA